Molecule: long non-coding RNA, 1955 nt
Filed under: Malus domestica (apple)
Lineage: Eukaryota; Viridiplantae; Streptophyta; Magnoliopsida; Rosales; Rosaceae
Description: long non-coding RNA (MDOM_LNC020996)
Source: RNAcentral
CAUAGAUAAGUAAAUUGAAUUCACAACUUAUGAAACGCAAUUAGAAGUAAUCCAAUCAUAACGCAAACAUAAUGAUGCGAAAUAGAUAAGCACACAAAUUAAACCCUCUUUUUGUCAAAUUGUAGUAAAGAUGUAAGUAGGGAUCGUUCUAGACCGGGGAUUAGGAGGGAUUGCUAAACACUUGGAAACUGACUUAAAACUCAAAAACAAAGUUUAAAAACACUAACUUAGACUCAAAGAAUGCAAAAGUAAAGGUUAAAACACUUAAACAAACCUAAAACUCAAAACAGCAACUAGAAGGCUCAAAACUGCCUAAAAACCACUUUCUGGGCAGUUUUGAGCACCUACACUAAUUUGGACGAAAUUUGAUGAAAUCUUGAAUCAAAAUACUUAGAAACACAAAUCAAAACACUUUCUAACUAAUCUAAGACUUCAAAUUAAAGGGGGAUUUGUUUUGGACGAAAAUUUAACACAAAACAGAAACUUUAACUAGCACAGAUUGUAAAAACGAUUUUGGUGAAAUAGAUGGAUAAAAGGCUAGUUAGGAGGUUCUUCUCCACACAUGUCACACUUGCAAACAAAACGAUUUUCAAUUGUUCUUCCAAUAAAUUAUAAAUACUCAACGCCCCAGAUUAACCGUGAAUUGCACUAAUUAACCCUCAGUUUUUCCACAAGUUAUUAAGUUGGAUGAUUGCAUACGACAACCCAAAACAUUCCCUACAAGUUCCCUACAUGAAUUGCAUAAUAGAGAUACAAGCAAGAAUCAUUACGUUCUAUGAAAAACAUAAGCAUUGACGAAGCAUUUGUUACUAUGAAUUGCAUGAAACUUAUGCUAAGAAUUCAUUCAACGCGAUCGUUUUCAAGCGAUCUUCACUACUUGUGAUUAUAAGAUUGUAACUAUUAGGUGAAACUCCCUCAUAAUCUAGCCUCAUAUUCAUGCAUGAAAACUAAGCGUGCACUCUCAAUCAACAUACACAAAUAAGUUAUCAAUCAAAUAGAUGAACGAAUUGAAUCCACAACUUAUGAAAUAACAACUGAAUGUAAUCAAAUCAUAUUGCAAGCAUGUACAUGGUUUCGAAUUACCCCCCAACUAAGGGGUUUAGUUCCUCAUACUCACAACACAAAGUUUAUUGAAUUGAAACAUUUAAAACAUAAGAAAGAUCACACCUAAAAAUUCCAGCAAUCUAAAUUGCACAGCAGGAACAUCUAAGAACCUUCCUCCUCUUCCUUGGUUGCGGCACAGGGGUUUGUGAUGGUUUUUGGGGGUUAUGGAUGGUGUAGAAUGGUGGAAAAGUGUGUAGGAUAGGUGUAUGGGACGGCUAGGGUGGUUUUGGGUCAGAAAAUAUGGUGAAUGAUGAAGGAUAGGUGCUGUUGAAGAUGGGGAAUGGUUUAUGGCGUGAAGGAUUAAUUUCUGGAUUAUGGAGAGGGUGGUGAUUCGGCCAAGGGAGGUAAAACAUAUAUAUAUAGGCAGCCAAACCCUAAAGAAAUCAGAUUAGACAAAUGGGCUAGGGUUUAGGUGCGGCUAGGGUUAGGAAAUCCACCAAAAACUAGGGUUUCUAGAACAUUAGGUGCGGCAUGGGCUUAGGGUAAGUAAUCAGAUUUUUUUUCAUGUGAACAAGGCCUAGGUGCGGCUGAUUAAGUGGGCUAGGGUUAGGGUUAGGUGCGGCAUAGGUCCAAGAGGCAAAGAUGGGUCAUCCAAAAGCCCAAAGCCGAGAAUAGAAACUCUCGAAAUUGGAAACCUCCAAGAAUAGAAACUUCCAACUUUAGAAACUUUGGUUGCCAAUUCUGAUUUAGGAAAGAUCAACCCAAAAUGGAAACUUUUAGGCUUAGCUUUCCUACUUCAAGUAGGAAACCUCAAAUCUCGAACUCUUCAAUUUCAACCCAACCUUGUGUUCCAAGCAUGUCCUUUUCAUUCCAAGCUCACUUUUUGCUCCAAAAGCUCCAAAUUGCAUCAU